Molecule: ribosomal RNA, 497 nt
Filed under: uncultured bacterium
Lineage: Bacteria
Description: partial 16S ribosomal RNA
Rfam family: Bacterial small subunit ribosomal RNA
Source: RNAcentral
GAUGAACGCUGGCGGCGUGCCUAAUACAUGCAAGUCGAGCGAACAGACGAGGAGCUUGCUCCUCUGACGUUAGCGGCGGACGGGUGAGUAACACGUGGAUAACCUACCUAUAAGACUGGGAUAAAUUCGGGAAACCGGAGCUAAUACCGGAUAAUAUAUUGAACCGCAUGGUUCAAUAGUGAAAGACGGUUUUGCUGUCACUUAUAGAUGGAUCCGCGCCGCAUUAGCUAGUUGGUAAGGUAACGGCUUACCAAGGCAACGAUGCGUAGCCGACCUGAGAGGGUGACCGGCCACACUGGAACUGAGACACGGUCCAGACUCCUACGGGAGGCAGCAGUAGGGAAUCUUCCGCAAUGGGCGAAAGCCUGACGGAGCAACGCCGCGUGAGUGAUGAAGGUCUUCGGAUCGUAAAACUCUGUUAUUAGGGAAGAACAAAUGUGUAAGUAACUAUGCACGUCUUGACGGUACCUAAUCAGAAAGCCACGGCUAACUACGUG